RNAcentral lists this non-coding RNA (26 nucleotides) under Homo sapiens (human). Lineage: Eukaryota; Metazoa; Chordata; Mammalia; Primates; Hominidae. The record is from RNAcentral.
UAGGACGGACGCCCCGAUGGAUAAUC